This 133-nucleotide ribosomal RNA is filed under the name Candidatus Campbellbacteria bacterium CG22_combo_CG10-13_8_21_14_all_36_13. RNAcentral's name for it is "partial 23S ribosomal RNA". It matches the Rfam family "Bacterial large subunit ribosomal RNA", at positions 2769 to 2912 of the family's 2925-position model. Lineage: Bacteria; Candidatus Campbelliibacteriota. The record is from RNAcentral.
CGCUGAAAGCAUCUAAGCGGGAAGCCAACUUCAAGAUUAGGAAUCAUUGAGACCCCUAGGAGAUGACUAGGUUGAUAGGCUCUACGUGGAAGCACAGUAAUGUGUUGAGCGGUGGAGUACUAAUUCGUCGAGA